CAAAAUUUCAAAACAUAACCAACCCAAUUCUAGUAUUUCAAUCAAGUCAUUUAUAUACUUAAAUCUUACUUGACAUAUUGACGUAACAACUUAAUUAAUAAAAAUCCUACUAUCAUUUCUAAUUAACUCAUAAAACUAAUCAAGUCAUUUCAAUUCGAUACCAAUGCCAUAAAUGACUUCUACCAUUUUACUAAUAUAAUCAUCAAAACACAUUAUAUCUUACUUUACAACAAAACUAUAUAACAUACCAAAAUAACUAUUAUAAUUCUUAUGUACAUGCCACUUUCAUUUAAGGAAGAAAACAUCACUGAAAACUCUAUGCAGGAGUCGGGAUUGUCCUGGAUGCUGAACCGAGACUCUGACCCCUUUUCAACCUACGCAUGGAAACAACCGUACGCUGAGUAUUUUAUACUCAGUGGUAUUACCAUAAUUCAAAUUAUAAUAACAAUAAAGAAUUAUAAUUACGAAGCAUGUAACUAUCCGAUUUCUUAAUAUCAAUUAAUUCAUAAACUUUCAUUAUUUAACAAUAACAAUACAAUUUUUUAGCUAUCUUCAAUCUCAAUCACAUAUCACAUGUAGCAAUUUCAAUCACUACAUAAACAUUAAAUUCAUGCCUUUUAUUUUCAAUAUCAAUUUCAAUCUACAAAUUUUUAAUUUUCUCAUAUUCAAUACCACAAUCGAUCAAAUUCAUUUGAUUUUCUCAUUUCAAUUAUUCACCCUAUUAACAAUCUGGACUUUGACAGAUACACGGAUUCCAACCCAAACACACCAAUACGGCACAUUGUGCCUCAAACGGUACAUAGUACCUGAUUAGUAUACGACACAUAAGUGCCUGAAACGACACACGAGGUGCCUGAUACGACACAUAAAGUGCCUGAGAUACGACACAUAAAGUGCCUGGUGUACGACACAUAAAGUGCCUGAUCGGCAAAGCCGAUAAAUCCCGUACUCUUCCAAAUCCUAUGGCAUGCCAACUAUAUCUGACUUAGCCCGACUAGUUAAUAGGGUAUUCAAAUUCUCAAUUCUCUUUCAUUAUCAAUUCAAGAUCACUUUUCCACUUUUUAAUCAAUUAACAAUUUAAUACCAAUACAUAUUUCAAAUAAUCACAUAUAAUCAUAUUUCAAUUCAAUUCAAACCACUUUUCAAUCAUUACACAAUUCACAUAUUCACACAUAUUCAUAAAUUAAUUCACUUUAUUUAAUUCAUAUUUUAAAUUCAUUUUUCAAUCAAAUUCAAAUCACUAAUUACUUUUUAAUCAAUAUACAUUUCAAAUACUCACAUAUUUCCUUCAUUCAAUUUAAUUUGAUUCAAUUCAAAUCACUAUUAUCAUUUCAAUUGCUUACCCAAUUUUACUUACCAUGCAUUUUAAUUAAAAUAUAACAAUUAAUAAUAAAUAGAUUUGAAUUAUAGUAAUACAAACCCGAAUUUGCUCGAUUAUUCCUCAACGACCUUCUGCUUCCCUUUUUGUGCCGAUACCUCAAAUUCUUUACUAGCUAUGAAAAUUAAAUAAUUAAAUAAUUAAUUACAGCACAAAUUUUACAAUAAAAAUAAAAUUUCUAUCAAAUUUUAUACUUUAAUUCCAAUUUAAUCCUAACUAGAUUUAUCUACUUUUCUAAUUUAAUUCACACUCUAUUUCUAUUCAAAUUUCUUCUAAACUCAAAUUUAUCUACUAAUUUUUCAGCAUUUUUCACUAAUUUCGAAUUUUCCUCAAUUUAAUCCCUAAAAUUCAAAACUUAUAGUUUAGUUUACAAUUCAAUCCUUUAUUCAAUUCCAAAUAAAAUUUCUAUCAAAUAAAUCCUCAAUUCCAUCAUUUAUUCAACAUAAACCCUACUCAAAAAUCUAUUAACUUUCAAAUUUUCAACUUAAAUCCAAGAUUAUUUCACUCUAGGAUUCCAAAAACAUCAAAUUUAUGAGAAAAUAACUUGAUUUAGCUUACCUAUUAAACUUCAAGCUUCAAAAUCUCAAUUUUCCCCCUUUCUUUUCUUUCCCUUUUUCUUCCCCUGUUUUCGACUCUUUCUCUGUUUCUUUUCUGUUCUUCUUCUCUUUUUCUAUUCUUUUAUUUCAUUUGUUUUCUUUUACUUUUUUGUUAUAAUAAUAUAAUAUAUAAUAAUUAAUAUAAAUAUCUUUUACCACACAUGUCAUAUUCAUAACUAUACAUUUGUCCUAAUCUUAUUUAUCUCACAAUAUAAUAAUAAUAAUAAUUUAAUAAUAUAUUUUAACACAUAAAAAUCUUAAAUUUUUAUGCUUAUGCCGCCUCAAAUUUGGCAAUUGGCAUAAUUGCCUAUUUAAUCCCAUUUAUUGUAUUUUAAUCUAUAAUUAAACUUUCACUUUUAUUGUAAUUUAAUCCUUUUUACUAAUUACUCUUAAUUAGACUAAAUUCACCUAAUUAAUACCUAAUUAAGCACUAAACUAAACUCAUAAUUACUUCUAAUAAUUAUUUUCAAACUCAAUUUACUAAGACGGAGGCCCGAUAUUAUAUUUUUUCGAUGCCCGUGAAUUUUUGGGUCAUUACAUUUUAAGGGUAUAGAGUGGAGAUGAUAUUGGAGGGAGAUGUCUGUAUAUUACCUGAGUAAAUUGAGGUUCAACAUUUGUUGUGAACUCUCGUGUUAUACUCUAUGUCUGGUGUGUUUCGGUUGGAUUAGCUCUUAUGAGCUUCUGUCCGGCGUGUUUCAGUUGGAUUAGCUCUUAUGAGCUUAUGUCUGGUGUGUUCGGUUGAUUUGAUGAUGCACUCUUAUCCGUAAUUCGUUCUUCAAAUGAAAAAUCUCGGUAAGGUAAUCUGUUUAAUGAAUUUGAAAAAUUUAUUAUUUAUUGAAUAUUAAUCUAAACAUAGAUGAAUUCAUCGGUUGAAAUUGUAGAUGAAAGGGAAUUCUCAUGGUUGAUUAUUAUUGUUUGAAUUGUUGUAUUUGCUUCGGUAAGAUUUAUCGUUUAAUGUGUCGAACUUACUAAGCUUCAUUAAGCUUACUUGUGUUGUUUAAUGUCAUUAUAGAUUCUCGAAAGGUUGGACGAUCGGAUCGGCACUCAAGUCACUCUAUCCAGCUCAAUUUGAUAGUUUUUGGAACGUUUAAUUUAUAUUAUAUGGCAUGUAUAGGCUCUUGUGUUAUUAUCGUUAAUGUUUUGGUUUAUAUAAAAACUAUGGAUGAUUUUUUGUUUAAAUGGUCAACUUAUAUAAUAUAUGAGAAUGAGGUAUAGUUUCUAUGAUAAUGUGAAUGAUAUGUAUGAAAGAAAUGUUAUGAUUGAGAUACCUUUGAUAGGUAUUUCAGAUAAAUAUUGCUUGAAUGAAUUAAUAAGUUGAAUUGAUAAUUAUUUUGAUGUAUAAUUAUAUAUACUUGUGGCACCAAUGAGAGUACAUUAGUUAGGCACUUAAUAGGUUGGUUUUGGUGUGUUUUUGGCUCGAUUAAAGUCAUUUUGAUUUGGUAUUUUGAUUGGUAUUUGAGUUUCUUAAGGUCCAAGCAAACUUGAAAUGGUAAUAUUGUGUUUUAAGGUUCAUUUUGGGUCCACACGGCCUGAAAUGGUAUUUGACUUCCAAACGUGUCGAGAUUCGAGGAAAUCAAUAGCAGGUUGUGUUGUUGUCCUAGGUGAUCUACUGUAAUUUGAUACGUCAAAUUAAACCCUCAAAUGCACUUAAGGAGCUUAUCUUUAAACAAUUUUAGUGUCUUUUAUAUGUUUUUUUAUUUUUAAUUUUAUUUUUAAUAAAUUUUUUAUUAGUUUCAAGUCAUUUCUGAUACCCAAAUUGGCCAAUUGUGGCAUGGGAAACCUAACAAGUUGAUUAAGUGAUGUAGGGAGUCGGCGGUGGCCUGAACAGGAAGAAAAUAUCACCUACAAGUGGGUAUCACGAUAUCGAAGUAUGGAACGAUAUCGAAGUAUGGAAGUGUAAUACCCUUGAAAAAACUGAAAUGAAAAAAAUCGGGGCCGACUACUGUGACAUGAUGUCGAAAUCAUUUUUAAAUUUAGAAAAAAAUGGGGAUCGACUUUUAAAAUGAAAACCGGGAGUCGCCACCGAUCUUUUAUUGAGGUGUGAUUGGAUCACCUUGGAAAUAAUUUUAGGUCUGCGAAUUUUGAGAAAACAGGUUCGGGAGUCGGUUACGCAUUAGGAAGGGUUAGCACCCUCGUGACGCCCAAAAUUGGUACUGAAUUGAUUGUUUAAUGUCUUAAUGUCAAAAUUUGAAAAGAUUUUAAAAUACGAUCCUUUUAACUUGAAUAAAUUGAAUAAUAAAACACUCUUAUUUCAAAGAAAUAGAAUGUCACACCCAGUGAGUUAAGGCGCAACAUUUUUAAUCUUCCAAAAUUAAGUUUAUCUUUUAACUUUUAAAACCCAUGCAUGUUGAGAAGAAUAUUUGGUCAUUUGGGUCAAAUGAAAAAAUCAAAAUCCAGUAAGUUAGGGUUCAAUUUCCCAAAAUUCCUAAAUACCUCAUAUUGCCUUUAUUUUUAGAAGAAUCCUCGUCUCGAGAAAAUAACAUGUCAUAUCCAAUGCAUUAGGACACAACGUAUCGAAUUCCCGAGAAUGAGCUUUUAUUUAUGUGUUUUGAUUAAAGAAAAUUUGAUUAUUUAGAUUCAACGAGAAAAAUUAAAACCCAAUACGUUAGGGCUCAAUUCUCUCGAGGAUUCCAAAUAUCGGGUAUUGCCUUUAUUUUCAAAAUUCCUUUUUAUACAUUGCGUAGAAAGGUCAAAUAUGUUUAAACAUCAUGUAUGGUACAAUGAUAAUGAAAUGGUGUGAAAUGGCUAUGUGGGUAGAAUAAUACAUAAAGGAAUGUUAUAAUAUUUGCAAUGAAACUAUAAUAAUAAUGCACCAACUAAUAAUAGCAAUAAUCAUAUUAAUUACUAUAGCAUGAAAAUACGAAUAAAUGAAAUAAUACACAUAAUGACAAUACUUACACCACACAUCAAAUACAAAUACUAAUAAUCAAAGCAAACAAAACGAAUAAUAUAUAUAAGUCAAUUUAAAGAAAAUAAUAGCUCAAAAUGAAUGAUUUGUGCUGGCAUUUCAAAAUAAAUAAUAACGAUUCAAAUAAGUAGAACAUAUAUAUAAAAAAAUUAGACAAUAAAUAAAUAACAAUGGAAACAAUUAAAAAAUAUAUUUAAAAAGAACAUAUAUUUUGAAAAAAAUACAUAUAUACGUACAGAAGAAAAAAAAUUUGAAAAAUGUUCAUACAUAAGUUUAUAAGAAAUAAUAUGUAUAAAAAAAUAAAUUUAAUGUAAAACAACUUCAAAUAAAUAAUAAAUAUAAAAACUUAAAAUAAGUAACGAUAAAAGAACAUUUUCUACAAAUAAAUGAAUUAAAUAAACCGAGGAUGAGGUGGAAACAGAAUUAAAAUUCGAGGCUUUAAUUGCAAAAUCGCAAACAGUUCGCAAGGGGACUGAAAUAAGAUGCGCUGAUGACAUGAGGGACUGACUGUGCAAUAUCCCCGUCCCUUAUGCACAUCGUUUUGCGCAGGACAAGAUUGGAACAGGCGCAAAGUUCUAUGGCUGAAAUUAAGUAAAAUAAAAAGGCUGCAUCGAAUGUGCCCCAGAAUUGGAAGGACUAAUUUCGCAAAAUACCCAUUAGGGUAAUAAUGCGCAGCCCUCCAAGCCUUCAAACGGCACCGUUUUAAUAAUCAAUAUAAAAAGAAAAAAAAACCUAGACUAAGCCCGAAACAGAACCCUAGCAAUCCCUUCUCAUUUCUGCGCCGUUCUGCUACGUCCAUAGGCCAAUGGUUUUCCGAAUCCCCUUUGCGCGACUCCGAUUGCGACGGAGCGAAGGACACCGGUCACCAGGUACGUUUCUCACUCUGAACUUUCUUCUUUAUUUGUUUACCCUAGCAAUGAACUAAAGAAUCAAAGAAAAAAAGAGAAAAACGAAGAGAAAAUUCAAAAAAACUUACGAAGCUUAGUUUUCUUUUAAUGUUUUUUCUUGUUUCUGUAUUCAAUCUCUGUAUGCGUAAAAAAGGGAAAAGAGACCCCCUUUAAGUACAUCUUUGGGUUUUUUAUAACCCGAAAACAAAAAGAAAAGAAAACGAAUACAAAUUCUUUUUUUGUUUUUCUUUUUCUCUGCCUUUCUUUUGCUGUUUGUUUGUUCCAUUUUGCUGUCGAUUUGUUGUUUGCUGCAGGUACGGUCGUACGAGGGGGCAAUGGCAUCGCGUACGGAAGCAGAGGCUGACGUGGAGCUGCUCGGAGGCUAAACCUGCUGGCUGCGGCGCUAAAAGUCUCAGAAACCCUAGGGUUUUUGUUUGUUCCAGUUUUGGGCCAAGGGUAUUUAGUUGGUUUGGGCUUGUAAGGCGAUUAGGCUGGGGUGUAUUUGGUCUGUAUGAUUUUAGGCUUGUAUUUUGGGCUUGCUGGACUGAUGGACUUUUAAUAACCUUGUUAUUAUUAUUAUUUUUAUUAUUUAUUUUUUUAUAUAAUUUGUUUAUUUAUUUGAUUUGGGCCGGGCAAAAUUAGGGUAUUACACAUGAUAUUCAAGUUUGUUGGGGGUAUCACCAUCCAUUCCAAGAUUGUUGGGGGUAUCAUGAUAUUCAAGUUUGGUUAUCACAAUAUCGCUGCCUAAAGGGUGAAAAAACUGAAAGGCAAUUUUAUGUCCAACAAACUUAAGUCUAUUUUUCACUUAAUGGUAAAAUAGUCAAUGCUAGGUUAAAUAGUAAUAGGCUAUAAAUACAACUUUAUAAGCCUUUCAUUUUAAAUUUUACUAUUAUCUUUACCCGUUAGUUAAAAAAUGAGUUACUUGUCUAAUGGUUAAGUGUUAGUGAAAUUGUCUUUGAAACCCAAGUCUGAAUCUCCUCCCUCGCAUAAUUUUUAUAUGUUGUAUUUUUUCCCAAAAACCCUAGGUGUUGUCGUCCCAUGUUGUAACCCUAGGUACAUAUUGUAUUUUUUUCUUUUCUUUUCAGCCUCAUUUGCUCACCCUCUCUACGUCCCACCUUCUCUCUUCCUCUCAUUUCUUCAAUAAUUCUUUUCUCUUAUCUCUUUUAUUGCCUCCCCUUGAAACCUCAUGUUUUCUCUUUCAUUGACGUCGCCCUAGUGAUCAGCCACCACUACUGUUGCCCCUUUUGUUUCUCCUCUCCUUCUUUCAUUUUCUCUCAUUCUUUUGUUGACGAAACCACCAUUCAUCUUUGGUCAGAUCUUUUUUGGCCCUUUGCAAGUGAUCAAUCCGUUUUGUGAUUAUUUGUUAUCAAAGGUCUGAGAUCCGCGAAGUGUAAGUUGUUUAUUAGUCAAAUUUAAAUACAUAUUUCUUUUCUAUAAUGGUCAAAUCUAUCAAGAGUCCAUGGCUAAUUCUCACAUGUGUUCUUUUUGUGUUUUUUUAUUGAAGGUUCAUAUUCAAAUCACUCAGAUCAAUGGUGACAUCAAACAUUAUUCGCGUCUUCGUCUUAAGUUGAAAUAGUACUAGUGUAUGUGGUGAUUCCAAAAAUCAUAUAUGAAUUGCCAUUGUUUUCUCUGAUUUGGCCGAACCCUAUAAGGUGAUUAGAGGCUAAUUUCUAACAAUUACUUCCUUGUGUUAGGUACAAAUUAAACCAGAUUUAAUCAGAUCUGAAGCAUAGGAGCUGCAGACUAGUGUUAGUGCUUCAGAUAUGCAUUAUUCAGGUAUGGGUCCUAACUUUGUAUGGUUGGUGAUUGUUGAAAUCAUGUUUGUACUUUAUUGGCAUUGGUCGAAUGUUAUAGGGCCUUAAAGUGUAAAUAACCAAGUGUGUAAGUGUUAUAAGUGUUAACUGAUUGUAUGCCUAUUGUUACUGGUUGAUUAGCUGAAUGCAUGUUAUUACAUGUACUGUAUUGUUAAGCAUGUUGAUUGUUAAUGUAUAAAUGGAUUGCGAAUAUAGCAUGCCAUUGAUUGAUACAUUGUUUAUUGCUUGCAUUUAAAAAAAAAAACAUGUCACUGAUUGAUAUUAUUUUAUCGAAUUGAAAUUGUUACACAUGCCAUUGUUAUUGCAAUUGUUAUUGAAAAGCAUUGCCAUAAUGCAUUGCAUGGGGACUUGGAUUGAUUGGAGAUGGAGGAGAUCCAUGGAGUACGGACAGUUUAUCUGUCAUAUUAUACUGGCAAUUAAUCUACAACCCUGAAGUCAUGUUCGGAGUACUGACGGUUUAUCCGAAAAUUACUAGUAGUUUAUCCACAAAUUAUUGGCAAUCAAUUGAAAAAAUUGUCAAUGGUGGUUUAUCCACAUUGAGCUAAGACUCUUACUGUUUUAGUGUUCGAAUGUUGAGCUUUGGGGAACUCAUAGUGUGUAGCAGAUGGAUGGGUAGGAAAUAUACAUUGUUUUCAUAUGAGCAUGUACAUAUAUAUAUAUUAUAUUUUUAUGAUGUCAUGCUAUACUAUGAUCUAAGAAAUGUUGCUGGCUAUAUGCUUUACUAUAGUUUGAACGUCUGCAUGUAUAUACAAUGUUUACUAAGUUUAAGACUUGCGUUGAGCUUUUUACAGCUCACCCCCAUAAUUUUAUCUAAACUUUGAGGUUAGGAUCGGACACGAUAUUCAGAGGUUUCAUCUCAAUUUUAUUUAAUAAAGCAAUUUAAAUUUUACUUUAUUCUGUUAUGGUUUUUGGGACUGUAAUUUUGUUAAUUUUGGGUUGUGGCAUGGGUUCUUUUUAAGUUUGAAUUUCCACAUGCAUCCAAUUCAUUAAACUGAACAGACCCAACAAAUUUGCUUAACAUCAUAUUAAAUAAGGUUUAAAGUAAAAACUGAUGGUUCCAAUUUUUCCAAUACGAAACAAGGAAAAGAGUUUUGAAAAGCAAAUCAACAAAACAAAAAUCAAUUAAGUUUACCCUAAAAUGUCACAACACAUACUAAAUUUGGAGCCUUAAUAUUAACUUGACUUAAAAUCUGAUGUUUUUAAUAAAUAUAUGUCAACCAAUCUAAUUUUUCUAAAAAUUGAAAAAAUAAAUGUUACGAGAACUAAACGAUUCUACUAGGCCAUUUCGGUGGCCAAUGUAACCUUCAAGAUCCGAUCAUAAUGUUUGAACCAGAUUAGGGAGGAUACCGUUAUGGUUGAAAAUUUCAAGCAAUUGGAAAAAUAAAUAUUACUAUUGACAAGCAAGUGUUGUCGAAUGUGAGAGAAUAUCUUAAAUUUUGGGGUGGUGAUGGCAAAAAGUCAAAUAUUGAAGCUGACAUGAAAGGGGUGACGUUGCUUAGUAUUGAUAACAUCGGUGAAAAUGAGACAGAUGAAGCGGAAGUAAGUAACCGGGGCAAAGAAGGUGAGUGUAGGCAAAUCCAAUUUAGAGGUGGAUCGAACACUAGUGUUGGGCCAUUCAGAUGGGAAUCAAGGUUCCGUUGAAACAACUGAGGUGAUGGGUAGAGAUGAUAUGACUGCAGGAAAGGAAUUGGUUGAAGUUACGAAGAGGAUAUUGUAAAUGAGUAUAUAGCCAAAGGAGGCAACAAAGUUAAGAAAAUUGAGAAAGAAGAAACUAACGGCUAGUGGUGAACACAUUCUGACUUCAAAAACAAGAACGCGUUGAAGUUGGGUAAGAUUAUGGGAUUACAAGUUGGUGGAGAUAAGGAUGAAGUUUUGAGACAUUUGGUAGCAAUUAGACUUAGCUCAGUUCAAGGAAUGUUGAAGUUUGAUUUUGUUUUUUUUGUUUUUUUUUUUUGUGUACCAGUCAGUACCCUCAAACUUUCUUCUCUAAAACUCUCCUAAUGUUUCCCAUGAAUCCCCGGCGCUAGCAUGCAAACUAUCUUAUGUUUCUCCAAAAUAAGAGAUACUCUCUCGAUUUUGCUCUUGGGGUUCAUUGCAAAAGUCUGACAGACAGAUGAAACCGUGGUGUUUGAAACUUCUCCCCAUCUCAAGGCUCUAUACGACUUCUACAUCUGGGCUUUUUAAACAUUGAUAAUAGUAUCUUACAUGCUAAGUCUGGAAAGAAACAAAGAACUCUUUUGGAUCGUUUAUUUCAAUUUUUCUCAUAUGUCUCGUUUCUCUUUGUCCCUAGGGGUGUGCAUAAUUCGGGUAAAAUCGAAAAAUUCGGUUAACCGAUCGAAUUCGGUUAAUCGGUCAGUUAACAGAAUUUUUUCGGUCGGGGGUCAGUUAAUUUUUUUAUGAUUUUUCUGUUAACGAUUAAUUCGGUUCGAAACCGGUCGGUUAACUGAAUUUUUUCGGUUAACCGAAAAAAUUAAUAAAUAAAAUUAUCCAACCCAACCCAAUUACCGAACCCAAUAAAACUAAAACUAAAGUCUACCCAAUUACCAACCCAAUAAAAAUAAAACUAAAGUCUGACUCUUAAGUAUCUACCCAAUUACACAUGUUUUUUUUUUUUUAGGUUUAAUGCAAAUGGAGAUUUUUUGGAGAGAAGAAAUAGAUAUAAAUAGAAAAUAUUAAAGACUUACAUUUCAACUAUGUGUUAAUUUUAAGAAUUAUAUAAUAUUUUUAAUUAUGUAGUGAUUCAAAGACUAAUUAUGUAAUAUUUUUAAUUAUGUAGUGAUUCAAUUCGGGUAAUUCGGUUAAUUCAGUUAAUUUUUAUUCAAAAAUAAAAACCAUACAAUUUUCGGUUAAUUCGGUUAACCGACCUAAUUAACCGAAAAAAUUUCGGUUUGAUUAAUUUUUUUUUUUAAAUUCGGUUCGGUUAACGGUUAAAAAUUUUGGAAGAUCGAUUAAUUCGGUUAUAGCUAUUUCGGAUCGGUUAACCGAAUGCACACCCCUAUUUUUCCCAAGUUCCAUUAUUAUCAUCCCAAAUCUUCAGUAUGAUAGAAAAAAACUAUUAAAUUCAGGUGAAAGUAAUGGAGAGCAAAUACAUAAAAAUAUUAAAAAUUUGAUAAGAAAUAUUAAAUAUAAAAACUAGAAUUUAAUAAUAUGAAGUUAUUUGAAUUAAAUAUAUGUAAUAUUAUUGUACCGCGUAAUUUUACAUGAUAAUAUUAGGCACUUACCCCUGUUUUAUUUAAAUUUCAUUUAUAAAAUGCUUUAUUGACUCAUUUCAUAUCAUGGACUAAAGAAGUUAAAUUCAAAAUUAGCAGAAUAUACCCUUUUUUCAAAACGAAAUACAAAGAAAAUUACCAUGAAACUGUUUGAAUCAUCUCUCAGUUGCUCAACGAAUUACUUCUUUGGAAUGUUAAAAAAAAUUACUUAUUUUUCUUUUUCUAUUAAUUUAAUUAAUAUAUCAUAAUAAUUAUUAUUACAAUUGCUACUCAUGCACAGGUUUGCUUUCACUAUAAAGAAUGCAUAAUAAUAGUCAAAAUUUAAACAUAUUAGAUAAAAAUAAAUAAAUAAUAAUGCAUUUUAUAAAAUUAUUUUUUAAAAUUAUUUUUAAAUCAUUUUAAAAAUAAUAUUUUAAUUAAAACUUAAAUUUGAAAAAAAAAGAAUGCCACAAAAAAUGAAUAUAUACAUUAUUAUAUUUAUUAUUUAUGAUAUGAUAUGAUUUCUUACAAAUGUUUCUAACAACAUUAGUUACCAUUUAAUCCACAAAGCUUUAAUUUACAAGUGUCAAAGAAAAAUCCUAAAAUACGGAAAUUAAUUUUUUGUAGAAUGUGAAAAGAUUUUUAAAAAAACUAAUAUUUAAUUUACAAUUUAGCUUUUAAAUUACAUUUAUAUAUUAAUUGUUUCAAUACUAAAAAUAUUAGUUUAUCUAAAAAAUAUUUUACUCAACCACAUAUAUAUAUAAUUAUAUAAAUUACAUCCUAGCAUUAAUCAUUUUUUUAACAAUUUCAAAGCUCGAGAUUUUAAAGGAAUAAUAAAAGGAAUAUUAAAACACCAUAAUUUUAAAGAGUGAUUAAUAUCCUUGAAAUUUAAACAAAUUCUCACAUCCGUAGGGCACUCUCCACCAUAAAACAUUUUAAACUAAAUAUGGUCAUUUUUUGGGUUUUAACUGAUUCAUUUUUUAAUAUAAAUAGAGAACUUCAAUAACAUAUUAUUCAAGCUUGUGCUCAAGGGGCCAUAAGUGAUAAGCAAUAAGCAACCCCACAACUUCAAAUAAGGUUUUCUUCUUUCUCGCUUUCUUUUCUUCAGGGGGAAAGAAAGAGAGAAGAAGAUACUUUUUUGAAAAAAAAAAAGUUGUUUAAGAAUGGCGAAUAAUGCUAUUAUUGGUAUUUGUGCGGUGUUUCUGGUGGCCUUGGUGGUAGCCGUGGUGGUGGGUGUUACGCACAUAAAAAACAAGAAUGAUGGUGAAGAGAUAUCGAGUUCGAACAAAGCCGUGCAAGCCCUAUGUCAACCCACGAAUUAUAAAGAGACGUGCCAGAAAAGCUUGGCGUCGUCAAAUUCUAGCGACGUUAAGGAGCUGAUAAGGACAGGUUUCCAAGCCGGGCUAGUUGAGAUAAAGAACGUGCUAGCCCAUUCAGUGACGGUCCAAGAGUUGAUCAAGGAUGAGAACAACAAAGCGGCACUUGGUGUUUGCCAAGAGGUGUUGGACUUAGCCAUUGAUGACUUUCAAAAGUCAUUCGACAUGCUAGGGGAAUACGACAUGAGCAAGAUCGGAAAAUACCUUUUGGAACUAAAGACCUGGCUAAGCGGUGCAUUCACGAGUCAACAGACAUGUAUAGACUCAUUCGCGGAAUCAAGUAACGAAUCAUCGCAGAAGAUGCAAUCAAUCUUGAAGACUAGCAUGGAGAUUACUAGCAAUGCUUUAGCGAUGCUUAAUGGGUUAUCCACCAUCGUGAAGGAACUUAACAUUCCAAACAUCGGCAACAUCGACACCACGGGGGUCAACCGUAAGCUUUUGUCGGCUGAGGAUAUGCCUGAGUGGAUUAGUCAAGCUGACCGAAAACUUCUUCAAGCAAAACCAAUGGAUUUGAAACCUAACGUUGUGGUUGCUAAAGAUGGUAGCGGGAAAUAUGAUACUAUUAACAAGGCAUUGGCUGAAGUCCCUGUGAAAAGUCCCGAUCGAUUUGUUAUUCACAUUAAGGCUGGUACUUACAAGGAGCAAAUCAACUUGACCAAGAAGAUGACUAAUGUUGUAUUCAUUGGUGAUGGCCCAACCAAGACCAUUAUCACAAAUGACAUUAGCGUCGUUAAGAAUCCACCGGUUAGAACAUACCGCACUGCAACUGUUGGUAAGUAGUAUUAUAUACAUAUAUAAGUUUUGUCAUGAAGUGUGGUGGCUAACUAGUAUAUAUGUAUACAUGUUUGUGAAAUAUUUUAGCUGCGGAUGGGGCUGGUUUCAUGGCCAAGGACAUUGGAUUCGAUAACUCAGCAGGACCCGAAGGUCAUCAAGCAGUUGCCUUUAGGGCCACUGCUGAUAGGGUCAUCAUGUUCAACUGCCAUUUCACUGGGUGCCAAGACACUCUCUAUGCUCACAGAGAGAGACAGUUAUAUAGCAACUGUCUCAUCACCGGAACGGUGGAUUUCAUCUUCGGGGAUGCGGCGAGCAUUUUCCAGAACUGUAUGCUCGUCGUGAGGAAGCCAGGGCCAGGCCAAAACUGCAUGGUUACUGCACAAGGAAGGAAUGAUCUUGGAACAAACUCAGCCAUUGUGCUUCAAAACUGCACCAUCUCGGGCGCCCCUGAUUACAUCCCAGUGAAGGAUACGAACAAGGCGUACUUGGGGCGUCCUUGGAAACAAUUCGCUAGGUCCAUCAUAAUGCAAUCUAGGAUCGACGACAUCAUUCAACCAGAGGGUUAUGCCCCCAUGACAGGCACCAUAGGAAUAGACACUUCUUUCAUUGCCGAGUUUGGAAAUAGGGGACCCGGUGCUGAUACCAGCCGUAGGGUAGCAUGGAAAGGUAUCAAAAAGAUAGAUAUAAAUGAAGCCAACAAAUGGACUCCUCGCGUCUUUCUCGAAUCCGAGACUUGGAUCCCAAGUUCCGGCGUUCCCUAUAGUCCCGACAUGGUCCCUGGAGUCUAAACAGCUUAUUAUCGAUACCAACGCCAUUAGUAUGCUUAUUAUCAUACCAUUGUUCUAAUUAUGUCAUUUUUUUACUAAUUAAUUAAACAGUUUUUUUAAUCUUUUAUCUAUCUAUGUAUAUAUGUUGAAUUCUUUGGUUUCCCGAUUGUUGUUUCCAUUCACUUAUUAAUGAUGUUUGCAAAACCCAAAAAUUAAGUCAACGUUUAAAUAUUAUUGAACUUAAUUUAAUACAAUUUUUUAAGGAUUAUUUGGAUUGAUAAUGUUGUUUCCCUGAUGUAGACACCUUACUUUAAAUAGAUUUAAUAAAAUGAUUAUUAUCAAACUUAAUUAUAAGAUUUAAUAAAAAAUAGUUUAUGAAGUGACAAUUACUAAUAUAAUAUUAAAAAUUAAUAAAAACAAUUAUAUUAUAAAAAAAUUAAUCUUAUUUUUUAUAUAUACUUUUUUUUAUAUAUGGACUUAAGCAAGUAUCCCGCGCAUGGAAUCAAAGAUUUGUUCAAGCGGUCAAGAUUUUUGAAUUUGAGCAAAACAUAAAAGAACGUUGUGUUUAUAAACAUUUAGGGGAUGAAAAGGUGGUCUUUCUCAUUCCAUAUGUCGGGUGAAAUUCUACUAGUUGAGAAUGAUGUAGGGAUAUUGUCAUCGUUUAAACUAUGGGUAACCCAACAGUUUAGGAUGAAAGACUUGGGAGAAGCUAAUUUUAUUCUAGGCAUUCGAAUCCUAAGGGAUCGAAAGAACAAAGUGAUAGCACUAUUGCAAGAUUCAUACAUAGACAAGAUAUUGGAUAGCUAAGCUAUAACUUAUACGAAAAAGGGUAAUCAACCUUCUAAUAUUGAGAUUUCACCUUUCUUUAGAGGAUUGUCCUAAGACAAUGGAAAAAGGAGUGGACAUGAGAAAGGUUCAUUAUAUUUCAACAAUAUGAAGUCUUAUGUAUGUUAUGUUGUGCAUACACCACUGUAAGUGUUCCCGGCUCUAAACAUCGACUGAAUAAAUUUGAAAACAAAACCACUAACUGCGUGUCGUGUCGGGGUCUUAUAUUCUAGGUUAUCGCCAAACCUCAAUUGGUGGACGUUUUGCCUACCGCGGUUGAAAUCUAGGGCUGAAACCGAUGAGUAUCUUCCCAUUGAUAAUUUCAGGAUAUCAUAUUGAAAUAAUUUUAUUUUAUGCACAAAAAUCAUAUAAAAAAAAAGCACAAAUUUACAUACUUUAUAAAUUCAUGCCCAUUAUUAACAUUUAAAGCAAAAUUCACUUAAUUAAUUAACAAAUAUUCAAGAUUAAUAAUCUUUUUAAGUAAAAAGUAGUAAAAAUUACUAGGAAAAUCCCAUAUAAUUUUCCCUUUAAUUAGAUCCUACACCUUUAAAAGAAUAGUUAGAUACAUGCUUAAGUUAAAGAGGUUAAUUUAAUAAGAAUCCAAAAGUGGAUUUUUAUAAUUUUUAUUAGUUGAGUUAGAUAAAUAUGUAUUUGUAUUAUUUAAAUUUUAAUCCUUUGUUUUUUUAUUUAAUCAUCCCAAUUGGUCUACCAAUUUUGUGUUGUACUUUCAAUUCUUUGAUUUAAUAAAUAUUUUGGUACACUUUGAAUUGGCAUAAUAUGAUAUGUUUUAUAUUCAAGAUAGGUGAAGUUAGAUAUUUUCACUUUAACAUCUCAUGUCAAUGUCACUAUUAUUUUUGAACACCCUCUUCCUCUCCCAUUUAUGAUAAAGAUUUGUGGAAGAUUUGUUUUUUUAUUAGGUGAAUUUGGGUUCUAAGAAGAAAAAAAAUUAAAAAAUAAAAACACGAUUAAAAGUUUGUAGGGGUAAUUUUUUCUUUUUUUUU
RNAcentral lists this long non-coding RNA (15514 nucleotides) under Gossypium raimondii (Peruvian cotton). Its description in RNAcentral is "long non-coding RNA (GRAI_LNC005038)". The record is from RNAcentral. Lineage: Eukaryota; Viridiplantae; Streptophyta; Magnoliopsida; Malvales; Malvaceae.